GGAUGGAUCACCUCCUUUCUAG
RNAcentral lists this ribosomal RNA (22 nucleotides) under 'Brassica napus' phyllody phytoplasma. Its description in RNAcentral is "partial 16S ribosomal RNA". The record is from RNAcentral. Lineage: Bacteria; Bacillati; Mycoplasmatota; Mollicutes; Acholeplasmatales; Acholeplasmataceae.